GUUAGAGAGCAGGCUUGGAGCUCAGCUGGGAGGAGAGCCCAUCAAACUAGGGUGGGGUGAAGUGGGAGGGUCUGGCUUGGCCAGAGCAGGGCCAGGGCGUGGGGACAGGGAUGGCAUUUUGACCUGAAUGUCUAGCUCCAAGGGCUCCGUCCUUCACGCCAGGCCGUGUUCCCCACAGAAGCAUCAAUUCUAAUGAUAGAAUGCACUUUGCCAACCAGCUGUCCUGAGAGACCUGGGCCUCCCUCAAUUCCCUGUCACCGAGUCAGACCCUCAGACCCCUCGGCCAUGAUGGAUGGCCCUGAGCUGGCUUUCAUGCAUCUCCGUCUUCCCCAGAAGCUGUGACACAAGUAAUUGGUGUCACCUCCGUGUUCGCAUGCCAAGUGCUGACAAAACAGUCCGUAAUAGGGGCCUUGGAGCUGUGCCCUUGACUGGGAUGGCGGGGGGGUGGGGGGCUGUCAGGAAUGGGGCCAGGGCAGCCCAGGGCUCUCGGGGGACCCGAGAAGGUGGCAGUGGCCAGGGGAUCAAACGCAAAGGUGCCCCGGUCCCACCGAGGAGCAGCAGGUCCCAUGUGUUCCUCCAGCCAGCUCUGCAACGCCCUGUCUUCCUGCCUGUCACAGUGAGGCUACCUGGAAAAGCCAGCCAUCGCCUUUUGCCAACUUCUCUCCAGGAAGACACUGGGCAAGAACUACUCCGUGCAUUGAGAAUCAGAAAUAACACUUUGAUGUUUUUUCUCCUCCGGUCGGGCGGUGUUUUGUGUAACAGGGGUGUUUUCUUUCAUGAAGACUCUGUCAUGUCAUGGGUGUCUGGUUGGCCCUGGGCUUCAUAGCCACAGCGCUCACUUCUGUGACCUGCCCCUCACUUCCGGCUCCAUUUUAGCCCCCUGGUCUUCUUGGGUUCUCGUGUUAUAUUGUUUGCACCUCCUAGGUGACUCUAACGCCUGUUGGGUGGAAGGUGGGGCUGGGCUGUGCACAAGCAAGCCCUUUCUAGUGACCUGGAGAGGGCACAGGGACAAUAUCCCUUCCCUGGUCUCCACCUGCCCCGUGCCAUCCUCCUGCAGUCCCCAGUUCUGGCCAGAGGAUGGACUGCAUGUGCACACUUAUCCACGAGCUGUAGUGACCACAGCACCCCUGUCAUCAGCUGCCUGUCCUGCCUGAGGCAGAGGCAGCUUCUCUUGGCGACCCUCCCUGGGCACCUGCAGGGGAUUUAGCCAUUGCCACAAGUUGGCCUCAUGCUUGGCCGAGGCCCCGGGUAUCCAUCUAGUGUCUCUGGUGCCCGAAAGGGUUAAGGUCAAGGGUAGGAGGGAGCUGGAGGGCACUGGCACAGGGCGCUCCUGGGAGCCCUUGCCUUGCAGGCCAUCCCCGACCCCA
RNAcentral lists this long non-coding RNA (1367 nucleotides) under Heterocephalus glaber (naked mole-rat). Its description in RNAcentral is "lncRNA (ENSHGLG00000038308.1)". Lineage: Eukaryota; Metazoa; Chordata; Mammalia; Rodentia; Bathyergidae. The record is from RNAcentral.